RNAcentral lists this ribosomal RNA (536 nucleotides) under Klebsiella pneumoniae. RNAcentral's name for it is "bacterial SSU rRNA". It matches the Rfam family "Bacterial small subunit ribosomal RNA", at positions 559 to 1095 of the family's 1533-position model. The record is from RNAcentral. Lineage: Bacteria; Pseudomonadati; Pseudomonadota; Gammaproteobacteria; Enterobacterales; Enterobacteriaceae.
CGUAAGCGCACGCAGGCGGUCUGUCAAGUCGGAUGUGAAAUCCCCGGGCUCAACCUGGGAACUGCAUUCGAAACUGGCAGGCUAGAGUCUUGUAGAGGGGGGUAGAAUUCCAGGUGUAGCGGUGAAAUGCGUAGAGAUCUGGAGGAAUACCGGUGGCGAAGGCGGCCCCCUGGACAAAGACUGACGCUCAGGUGCGAAAGCGUGGGGAGCAAACAGGAUUAGAUACCCUGGUAGUCCACGCCGUAAACGAUGUCGAUUUGGAGGUUGUGCCCUUGAGGCGUGGCUUCCGGAGCUAACGCGUUAAAUCGACCGCCUGGGGAGUACGGCCGCAAGGUUAAAACUCAAAUGAAUUGACGGGGGCCCGCACAAGCGGUGGAGCAUGUGGUUUAAUUCGAUGCAACGCGAAGAACCUUACCUGGUCUUGACAUCCACAGAACUUGCCAGAGAUGCUUUGGUGCCUUCGGGAACUGUGAGACAGGUGCUGCAUGGCUGUCGUCAGCUCGUGUUGUGAAAUGUUGGGUUAAGUCCCGCAACGA